GCGAUGGAAAUGAGGCGAAACAAAUACUUAGAGCCACGUGGACCGAGUCAUCACGAGGCUUGACUCGGUGAAACCAGAAUCAAUUCCCGAGCUGACUCACCAUCACAUUUCAUUCCCUAAAACCCUACCUUCAGGCUUCAAGCAGCGAAAGCGCGAGAAAGUGCGAGAAAAUGGCGAGAAACUCCGUUCUUCUGCGACACCUCCUUCGAUUCUCUCCCUCGUCUCGCGCUCGUUCUUCUUCUCUGAUCGAGACCCUAGCUUCAUCUCCGAUUGCUGUCCCAUCCCCUCCCAUUCAUACAAUUUCCUCCUUUUUCACCACCGCCACCGCUAACUCUCAGUUCUCGCGGCCUUGUUUGAAUUACCGCACACUUUGCUCUUCCUCAGGUACCUCGCAUUUCCCGUGCAAUUUCUCAUUUACUUGUUUUAUUUUUCAUUUCCAUUUUCGUCGUCAUCUUUCGAGUUGUUAUUGCUUUGCUUGGAAAAAUAUGAUCCUAGGGUUUUUUUUUCGAAAUCAAACAGCUGUCUUCAUCGUUUCGAUUAGAAGCAAUUUGCGAUUUAGGGUUUAUAUUCUUUGUAUAAAUCACUGCUUUUAAAUUUAUUCAGGCUCAAUUGUGAAUUUUACCAGUGUUUGAUUAAAAAAUGAUAUAAUUUCUACUUGCAUUAUGGUUUGAUGAAUAAAUCAAGCAUUAUGAAUGAAUUUAAUUCCAGGUCAAUCAAAAAUUGCUCUGAUUAAAUCAGAAGAAGAGUUCAAUACUUCACUUAGCAAGGUUCAAGGUAUUUCGUUUUUCUUCUCUUAUAUUUUGUUUGUUUGCAUCUCGUUACUGUUUUCUCUAAUUCUUACAGCACUUCUCAUUGGUUACAUACUUGUUCAAAUUCAUUGUAAUAGAUGAAUCUUUGCCUGCAAUUUUCUACUUCACUGCAGUAUGGUGUGGGCCUUGUAAGUUUUUGAAUUAUUUCAUUUUCUACUUCAUUGAUUCAAGGAAGGGUAUUGUUUAAUCGGUUUUAUGGCAUAUUUAUUUCGUGUAGGCAGGUUUAUAGCUCCUAUCAUAGCAGAGUUGAGUGAAAAGUACCCUCAUGUCACCACAUACAAGAUUGACAUUGAUCAGGUGAGGAGAAUUUUUCCUUGUCCAAUUAGAAACUCAUGUUUAUGAGUUGAUAACACAUUGAAUUUAUUCUCAUGAAUCACCCUGUAUGCUUUUUAUACAGAUGAUCAAGAUUGAACUUGAAGAAACUGAUUAUUGAUGUUUUAAAUUAUGAAAUUUUGAUAUCAAUCUUAAAAAUAUCAUUGUAGUAGUUCUCAUGAAUAGGGUAACAUUCAAGAGUUCAUAGAGAAACAUCGUGAGAAAGUUGAGAAUUUGGUGGUUUGUAUAAGAAAGGAAUAUCAAAUGUACUUGUAAAAAUUCAUGAUUGAAUGAAAGGUGACAUAGGCCCUGUUUGGAAAUUGCUAUUGAAAACAUUUUAUGUUCUUUUGAACAUAAAACAAUUUUCUAACUCAAAAAACAUGUUUGACAAACUUCUAAAAAAAAAUAGUUUUUUGAGAAUUUGCCAUAAAAUAGGUUGUUUUUUAUAACAAAUUUAAGGUUUUUUAACAAUGUUUUGAGCAAUAAUUGAAAACAUGGAGAAUAUUUUAGGAACUUUUACUUCGUAUAUACUUGUAGAAGAACAAGCGGAGAAAACUGUUUUUCAUAUUUAAGUUCCCAAACAGAAUUUUGUUCUUCAAAACAAGUGGGAACUGUUUUCAGAAACGUUUCCAAGCAGGCUCAUAGAAAAGCAUUUUCCAAGAAGCAUGGUUUCAGAGUUGUAUGGACCAAUAAUAGUAUGGUGCUUGCAUUACAAUUUACAUUUAGCCUUGAAUAGUUGUUUAAUUGUUAAGUUGUUUCUAUUAAGCAUAUUGUUCAUUGGUAUUUCUGUUGGACUUACUUUGUUAACCUAUUUGCAGGAUGGGCUUGAAAACACCCUAAGAAGGUUAAAUAUUGCCUCCGUGGUUAGGCUACUUGAUCCCUUCUUUUCCCUUAAGAAUUGUUUUGAGUUUGGUUUAUAAUUCAUGAAGCAAAGUGGUUAUCUAUUUCUUUUAUUGGUGAAUUAAGUAUCCUGUUUUUUGUAUUUGGAUGAGUAAAUUUGUGCAUAUUUGCACUGAAGAAUACAUUAAUAUCAUAACUUUUCUUCAAAUAAUUGUCUUAUUUACAGAUUGGUGUCUGCCAUCACAAUUUUAGACCAGUUAUCUUUCUUUCUGUUGCUUGAAUUGGCUAGUGAUAUUUAAUCAGAGCAGACUCUCUCUAUUUUAGUUAAUUGUAUGUGCUAAAGAUGUUUCUUGACUUUCUUCUGUUGCAGCCAACACUCCACUUCUUUCAAAAUGGGAAAAAGGCAGCUGAAAUAAUCGGUGCUGAUGUUGCCCGCUUGAAGGAUACCAUGGAUAAACUCUACAAGUAAUUCCCCAGUGGUUUGCCUUUCUGCAUUGUGUAUGCUUUUGCAUGGAUUUUUCUUUGAACAAGGGCUUCCAUAGUUGGCUUCAGGGCUAUAAACGGUUCACAUUUGAGUUCCAAUCCAUAUUUGAUUCAUAUCAAACUGGAAUCCAUUGUUUCUAAUUUGGUUAUGCUUUUUAGAUACAUUCAUUGGCGAAUCUAAAUACAUUUUUAUCUGAUUAAAUUCUAAGCUGAUAAUGUUACCCUCAACACACAUUUCCUGAAAACAUUUUAAAAUUUUUUGCUUAUGAAAAAGUUAUUUUUCCUUUUAUUUAGUGUAAGUUGAUUGGUCUAAAUUGUUGGGACCUUGGGUUCUAGAUAUAGAAUUUACUGAAUGAAAUCAAAUCUUUCCAAAUAUGCAUCAGAUAAAUUCGUGGCAUGGAUAGGUACAAACAAAUAAAGCAAUACUCAGUGUUCAUAGGCUUCAAUGUUUGCAUCGGCCCAAUCUUCCAAGUUGUUGUGUCUCCUUUCUCUGCAUUGACAAGUGGAUUCAGGUGCCGGUUGACACAUGUGUGCUUCUCUAUAAUAGACAACGAAGACCGGUUAGGAAGGGGGGUGGCUGGUUAGGCCUCUGCUCCUCCAAUGGUCAAGUCAAUCAUGGUGCUUACUAGAGGAGGCAACAAAUAAUAAGAGUAGAAAGAGAGAUAAGAGUGUCUUUGAUAACCCCUUAGCAGAUACCUAUGUAGGUUUCGGUUAGGAGUGAUGGCCAUGCCAAGAGUUGAAUCCUGCAUGUUAUCUAUACCUCAUUAAUGCUCUGAUGUAGAUAGAUCAUAGUUAUGACGGAGGCAUCUAAUCUAGCUAAACUCAUUGGAUCACAUUAAAUGCUUCAGCUGUUUCGUUGGAGGAGGGGGGGAGGGUUAAGAAGUGGGGCAUCCACUACUGGUCGCUGUGGGCUGUCCCGUCCUCUCUUGAGCUCAUGCCUUUUACACCCACACACAAGUGAUAUCAACAAUUCAGGAAGAUGAUUGAAUAAUUCGAUUCUCAGACCUGAAUCUGGAUUGAUCAUUUGUCUUGCCUUGUAUUUGAUUAACAUGUUUACAUGUAGCUUCAAGUCAUAGCUAUGAAGUCUGCAGUUUCAGCCAAGUAAUUUUCUCAUUGUUUCCAUUUGCAGGAAGGACUGACAGAAGAUUUUCCAGGGUGGGAGCUGAUGGCACAUGAUAGCUAAUCUGAUGGGUGAUAAAGCUUUCUUCAGAAAGGAGAAAAGGUAUCAAUGUUGAGACUGGGUUUAGUCAGGAUUGGCUUAGCUUUGAGUCUAUGAGGCAUUUUACAUAUCGUAAAUUACAUAAGACCUGNNNNNNNNNNNNNNNNNNNNNNNNNNNNNNNNNNNNNNNNNNNNNNNNNNNNNNNNNNNNNNNNNNNNNNNNNNNNNNNNNNNNNNNNNNNNNNNNNNNNUUUAUAAAAUACUUUUAAAAUUUAAAAAAUUAUUUAUAGUGUUUUCUAAAUAAACACUUGAUAUAUGAUUAUUUUAAAAAAUACUUUUAGAGAAAAAUACUUCAAUUAAGAGGGUGUUUGGUACCAAUUUUAAAAGGUGUUUUUGGUUUUUCUAAUAUUUGAAAAUUUUUAUUUUUCAAGUGUUAUAAAAAUUAAAAACACUUCUUAAAAGUACUGUCAAAUGCACUUUAAGAGUACAUUUGGUAAUAAUUAUAAAAAACAUUUUUAACAUUUCAAAUAUUUAAAUGAUAAAAAAAAAUUUUAAUAUUACAAAUGUUAUAAAUACUUCUUAAAAUCAUUGUCAAACGAAUUCUAAAAAUACUUCAAAUAAAAAACAUUAGUAAAGACACUCUAAGUUUUAUAUUUUAAAAAAUAUUUUUUUAUAAAAAAAGAAGAUAAUUAUAACAUGUUCAAAAAUAUUAAUUAAAUGAAAGUUUGUUUUCGUAGAAAACAAAAUAUGAAUUUUCUUAUUUCUUAAAAACAUGGUAUUGACAAAUGUAGGAUUAUACUCAACAAUGUUAAUCAAAUGCUCUUAAAAAUUAUGUUUGACCUUUGAAUUCUAUUUUUGCUGAUCAGGGUUUAAAUCCUAUUAAGUUCCCUUCACUAGGGUUUAUGUUAUGUAUAUCUUCUUCCUUUUUAUAUCCUCCUAACUUUUUUUUUUUUUUUUUUGAAAAAUGCCCCAUAUGCAAUGCGGGUUUUUCCAUGGUUAAAAACAUUAGCUUAUUGUUUAAGUAUGAGCAUUAAGACAAUAUCCUAUCAAAAAGUUGUGACCAAAAGAAAAAGAAUUGUGAAUGUGAAAAGCAUUGUCUCAAAUUUCAUAAGUGGUUUCAUACUUUGUUGGUCAAGUGUUAUCUUUUCAUCCAUUAACUACAUAUUGGGGGUCCAUGUCAUUGAGACAAACUCACCACAAAAUAUUUGUAGUGGUCCAACAAGAAUUGCAUGCAUGCUAUGAUGAAUUGAUUUUUCAAUCACCAUCAUAAUUCAAUGAUUGUAAUUGAAUUUAAGCAAGAUCUUUAUUUUUGAAGUUUCACUCUUAUGGCCUUUCAUCUUCUCUUGACAAGAAAUAUAUCGUGCGAAUGAAAAAAUCAGGUGUUCUUUGUUAGUGAUUUUAAGAUAGUUAUUAAAGGGAAUCAGUAAUGAUUUUGAAGUGAUAGUAAUACAUUUUUCUAAUAAUUUUUAACACGACCAUGGAAAGAGUAAUGAGGUAAUAAUUAUCUUAUCAUCGAAACCGUAUUUUAUCUUUUAUCUUAGUUAGAAAUUGAGGCCGAAGUCAAAGUUAUAUUUUUUUUAAGUAAAUAUUAAUAUGAUAAAGGUUUCUUAAACAUUAAAAACUAUAGUGUAUACACUAAAAUAUGUCUUUAAUAAUAAGCAACUUUUUUUGACUUUCAUAUUAAGUUUUUAUUUUUGAUUUUUGAUUUAUUAUUUUUGUUUUUUAAGUUAUAAGCUAUUUGAAUAGAAUUAGUCAAUAGGGUAUACAAGUUGUUAUUGAACUUGAAAAAAAAAUGAGGUAUACAAGUUGUUGAACUUGAAAAAAACUUUUGAUUUUUCAAAAGUCAAUUCAAACAAGCAAUUAUAAAACACACACACAUAUAGUCAUUGACUCUAAUAUAUAUAUAUAUAUAUAUAUAUAUAUAUUAGAGUCAAUGACUUUAUUAAGUGAUUAUAGAGUGUCUAGUUGUCAUAUUUAACAAUUAAUUGAAAAAUAAAUAAAUAAAUAAAAUAAAAAACCUAAAAUGUGCAUGGGAGGAGGAAGGUUGCACGAGGUAAAAGGUAAUUUAUAUUAAAAACUUGUUUGGUAACUAUUUUUUAAAAAAUAAUCUUGUUUUUUUAUUCUAAAAAAAUAAAAUACAUUUGAAAAAAAAAAUGGAAAAGAAUUUUUUUUUUGUUUUUAAAAAUAAAAACCAUAAUAUUUUCAAAGAAUAUAUUUUAAUUAUUUUCAAUUGUUUUCACUUAUUUUUUUAAAAGUUGUUUAAAAAAAUAAUUCUACAAAUAUAAAAAAUGAUUUAAAAUAAAACACUACAUAUAUUUUUUUAAAAUAUAUUUAAAAAUAUAGAAAACAUAUUUAAAAUAUUUUAGAUUUAUGAAUAGUUUUUUAUUUUAUAAAAUAUUAAAGAAUAGUUUUUAAAAAUUAUUCUCAAAACCUACUUUCGAAAAUACUUCCAAUUGAGUCUAAAUCUUGCUUUCUAGAAAAACGAGGUCCAAGCCCAUGAGACCCAAACCCAUUCCUUGGGAUUUUAUGGGCCCUUACAUGGAGGGACCUCCUCGAGUUUAGGCCUUAGCAAGUGGGCCUAAUUUAAGGAUAUUUACCUUAAAUAUCCUUAGACGAUGAGUGGCGAUGGAAAUGAGGCGAAACAAAUACUUAGAGCCACGUGGACCGAGUCAUCACGAGGCUUGACUCGGUGAAACCAGGAUCAAUUCCCGAGCUGACUCACCAUCACAUUUCAUUCCCUAAAACCCUACCUUCAGGCUUCAAGCAGCGAAAGCGCGAGAAAGUGCGAGAAAAUGGCGAGAAACUCCGUUCUUCUGCGACACCUCCUUCGAUUCUCUCCCUCGUCUCGCGCUCGUUCUUCUUCUCUGAUCGAGACCCUAGCUUCAUCUCCGAUUGCUGUCCCAUCCCCUCCCAUUCAUACAAUUUCCUCCUUUUUCACCACCGCCACCGCUAACUCUCAGUUCUCGCGGCCUUGUUUGAAUUACCGUACACUUUGCUCUUCCUCAGGUACCUCGCAUUUCCCGUGCAAUUUCUCAUUUACUUGUUUUAUUUUUCAUUUCCAUUUUCGUCGUCAUCUUUCGAGUUGUUAUUGCUUUGCUUGGAAAAAUAUGAUCCUAGGGUUUGUUUUUCGAAAUCAAACAGCUGUCUUCAUCGUUUCGAUUAGAAGCAAUUUGCGAUUUAGGGUUUAUAUUCUUUGUAUAAAUCACUGCUUUUAAAUUUAUUCAGGCUCAAUUGUGAAUUUUACCAGUGUUUGAUUAAAAAAUGAUAUAAUUUCUACUUGCAUUAUGGUUUGAUGAAUAAAUCAAGCAUUAUGAAUGAAUUUAAUUCCAGGUCAAUCAAAAAUUGCUCUGAUUAAAUCAGAAGAAGAGUUCAAUACUUCACUUAGCAAGGUUCAAGGUAUUUCGUUUUUCUUCUCUUAUAUUUUGUUUGUUUGCAUCUCGUUACUGUUUUCUCUAAUUCUUACAGCACUUCUCAUUGGUUACAUACUUGUUCAAAUUCAUUGUAAUAGAUGAAUCUUUGCCUGCAAUUUUCUACUUCACUGCAGUAUGGUGUGGGCCUUGUAAGUUUUUGAAUUAUUUCGUUUUCUACUUCAUUGAUUCAAGGAAGGGUAUUGUUUAAUCGGUUUUAUGGCAUAUUUAUUUCGUGUAGGCAGGUUUAUAGCUCCUAUCAUAGCAGAGUUAAGUGAAAAGUACCCUCAUGUCACCACAUACAAGAUUGACAUUGAUCAGGUGAGGAGAAUUUUUCCUUGUCCAAUUAGAAACUCAUGUUUAUGAGUUGAUAACACAUUGAAUUUAUUCUCAUGAAUCACCCUGUAUGCUUUUUAUACAGAUGAUCAAGAUUGAACUUGAAGAAACUGAUUAUUGAUGUUUUAAAUUAUGAAAUUUUGAUAUCAAUCUUAAAAAUAUCAUUGUAGUAGUUCUCAUGAAUAGGGUAACAUUCAAGAGUUCAUAGAGAAACAUCGUGAGAAAGUUGAGAAUUUGGUGGUUUGUAUAAGAAAGGAAUAUCAAAAGUACUUGUAAAAAUUCAUGAUUGAAUGAAAGGUGACAUAGGCCCUGUUUGGAAAUUGCUAUUGAAAACAUUUUAUGUUCUUUUGAACAUAAAACAAUUUUCUAACUCAAAAAACAUGUUUGACAAACUUCUAAAAAAAAAUAGUUUUUUGAGAAUUUGUCAUAAAAUAGGUUGUUUUUUAUAACAAAUUUAAGGUUUUUUAACAAUGUUUUGAGCAAUAAUUGAAAACAUGGAGAAUAUUUUAGGAACUUUUACUUCGUAUAUACUUGUAGAAGAACAAGCGGAGAAAACUGUUUUUCAUAUUUAAGUUCCCAAACAGAAUUUUGUUCUUCAAAACAAGUGGGAACUGUUUUCAGAAACGUUUCCAAGCAGGCUCAUAGAAAAGCAUUUUCCAAGAAGCAUGGUUUCAGAGUUGUAUGGACCAAUAAUAGUAUGGUGCUUGCAUUACAAUUUACAUUUAGCCUUGAAUAGUUGUUUAAUUGUUAAGUUGUUUCUAUUAAGCAUAUUGUUCAUUGGUAUUUCUGUAGGACUUACUUUGUUAACCUAUUUGCAGGAUGGGCUUGAAAACACCCUAAGAAGGUUAAAUAUUGCCUCCGUGGUUAGGCUACUUGAUCCCUUCUUUUCCCUUAAGAAUUGUUUUGAGUUUGGUUUAUAAUUCAUGAAGCAAAGUGGUCAUUUAUUUCUUUUAUUGGUGAAUUAAGUAUCCUGUUUUUUGUAUUUGGAUGAGUAAAUUUGUGCAUAUUUGCACUGAAGAAUACAUUAAUAUCAUAACUUUUCUUCAAAUAAUUGUCUUAUUUACAGAUUGGUGUCUGCCAUCACAAUUUUAGACCAGUUAUCUUUCUUUCUGUUGCUUGAAUUGGCUAGUGAUAUUUAAUCAGAGCAGACUCUCUCCAUUUUAGUUAAUUGUAUGUGCUAAAGAUGUUUCUUGACUUUCUUCUGUUGCAGCCAACACUCCACUUCUUUCAAAAUGGGAAAAAGGCAGCUGAAAUAAUCGGUGCUGAUGUUGCCCGCUUGAAGGAUACCAUGGAUAAACUCUACAAGUAAUUCCCCAGUGGUUUGCCUUUCUGCAUUGUGUAUGCUUUUGCAUGGAUUUUUCUUUGAACAAGGGCUUCCAUAGUUGGCUUCAGGGCUAUAAACGGUUUGCAUUUGAGUUCCAAUCCAUAUUUGAUUCAUAUCAAACUGGAAUCCAUUGUUUCUAAUUUGGUUAUGCUUUUUAGAUACAUUCAUUGGCGAAUCUAAAUACAUUUUUAUCUGAUUAAAUUCUAAGCUGAUAAUGUUACCCUCAACACACAUUUCCUGAAAACAUUUUAAAAUUUUUUGCUUAUGAAAAAGUUAUUUUUCCUUUUAUUUAGUGUAAGUUGAUUGGUCUAAAUUGUUGGGACCUUGGGUUCUAGAUAUAGAAUUUACUGAAUGAAAUCAAAUCUUUCCAAAUAUGCAUCAGAUAAAUUCGUGGCAUGGAUAGGUACAAACAAAUAAAGCAAUACUCAGUGUUCAUAGGCUUCAAUGUUUGCAUCGGCCCAAUCUUCCAAGUUGUUGUGUCUCCUUUCUCUGCAUUGACAAGUGGAUUCAGGUGCCGGUUGACACGUGUGCUUCUCUAUAAUAGACAACGAAGACCGGUUAGGAAGGGGGGUGGCUGGUUAGGCCUCUGCUCCUCCGAUGGUCAAGUCAAUCAUGGUGCUUACUAGAGGAGGCAACAAAUAAUAAGAGUAGAAAGAGAGAUAAGAGUGUCUUUGAUAACCCCUUAGCAGAUACCUAUGUAGGUUUCGGUUAGGAGUGAUGGCCAUGCCAAGAGUUGAAUCCUGCAUGUUAUCUAUACCUCAUUAAUGCUCUGAUGUAGAUAGAUCAUAGAUAUGACGGAGGCAUCUAAUCUAGCUAAACUCAUUGGAUCACAUUAAAUGCUUCAGCUGUUUCGUUGGAGGAGGGGAGGGUUAAGAAGUGGGGCAUCCAUUACUGGUCGCUGUGGGCUGUCCCGUCCUCUCUUGAGCUCAUGCCUUUUACACCCACACACAAGUGAUAUCAACAAUUCAGGAAGAUGAUUGAAUAAUUCGAUUCUCAGACCUGAAUCUGGAUUGAUCAUUUGUCUUGCCUUGUAUUUGAUUAACAUGUUUACAUGUAGCUUCAAGUCAUAGCUAUGAAGUCUGCAGUUUCAGCCAAGUAAUUUUCUCAUUGUUUCCAUUUGCAGGAAGGACUGACAGAAGAUUUUCCAGGGUGGGAGCUGAUGGCACAUGAUAGCUAAUCUGAUGGGUGAUAAAGCUUUCUUCAGAAAGGAGAAAAGGUAUCAAUGUUGAGACUGGGUUUAGUCAGGAUUGGCUUAGCUUUGAGUCUAUGAGGCAUUUUACAUAUCGUAAAUUACAUAAGACCUGAUUAUCAAUUCACUGGUAUGAGAAAACCUCAGUAUCAAAAUCUCCGUUUUGCUUCCAAAUCUAUGGAAAUCGGAUUGUAAUGUUGUCAUCGGUUCAUUGUCAUUCAAUUGAUAAAUGAGUUUCUGAUUCAUUAUCAGAGCUCACUCCCAUUGCCACACGAGAAGAUUUAUUAUUUUAUUUAUAAUUUACCUAUUAAAAAUUUCAAUUUUUUUUAAUUUAAUAUUUGCUUGGAUAUACUUUUUGUUAUUUAUUUUUAAAAUCAGAAACUUAUAUACAAAACUAGAGCAUUUAAAAAAAUAUAUAUAUAGAUUUGCUUGUAUUUAAAAAAAAAAAAAAGAUUUGCUUGUAUUUAAAAAAAAAAAAUUAAAAUUUGAGAUAGUAUAUUAUUUUAUGCUUUUAAUUUUUAAAAUAAUUACUUUUUUAAUAUAAGUUUAAAAAAGUUUUUGUAUCUUAUAUAAAGUAUUUUUAAUUUUUAUUUAAAAAAAUAAAACAUAGGGUUAAAUAAAUUUUUAUUUCUUCAACUUUCCCGCAUUUUAUGCUUUGCCUGUUGACAUUUAAAACAUAACAUUUUUCAUUAUAAAUUUAUUAAAAUACAACACUUUUAUCACUUUGUCAAUAAAAGGUUAAGAUCGAAAUAUAAAAAAAAACAUUUAUCGUCCAAGUUCAAAGUCAGUCAUAUUUGGUAGUUGCAUGUGAAAAUCAUGAAACUAUUAUAUUUUGAAGGUGUUUGAAACAUUCCGUUGUUAGUUUAAAGUUGAUUUUAUCUAAUUUAAAACUAGUGUUUGAAUCAAACUAAUGUAUCUAAUCAUAAAAUAUUGGAGGCAUGUCCAAGUAAACACUUAUAAUUUACAUUUUUUUUAACUUAUUAUUUGAAUGAAUAUUUGUUUUCUUCUUAACCGAUAAAGCUAGAGAAUUAUUAAAGAUAUAUUUGAUAAUUGUUGUUGAUAUUAAUUUUUUUAAUCUUAAAAAUAGAAAGUAGUAUUAUAACUUAAGAAAAAAAAAACGUUUAACAAAGUCUUUUUAUAGAAAGCACUUUUCAACGACUUUUGAUAAAAAAAAAAAAUUAAAAAAAUACAUUUUUCAAUGUUGUUAGGAAAGCAAAAUAUUUUUUAGAAUAAAUUUUAGGUGUUAUUAGUUGUUUUUUUAGAAAGUUUUAAACAAUAAUUUAAAAAAUUAUAUUAUGUUAUAAAAUAUAAUAAAAUUAUUAUUUAAACAUAAUCUUAUUCUCAAAAAUAUUGAUUUUUUUAAUCAUUGCCAAAUAAAUCCUAAAAUUUUAUUUAUUUAUUUAUUCUAACAUUUUAAGGGAGAGUUGCUUUGAGUCAAAUAUAUUCCAUGAAGGAGAGUUGACCCAUGAAUCAAAAUGAUCUCUUGACUAAUAAAUCAAAAUUCUAAUUCAAUUAUAAUUUGAAAAUUACUUUCUUCCCCGUAUAUAAUAAAAUUAAUAGCCUUUUUGGCUUUUUCAGAGGAUUAUAUAUACGAACGGAAAACCAUGUCACCUGGUUGAAUGAUAUAACGAUAAUAAAUUGAAAUUUGUAAUGUUUUUAAUACACUUUUAUUAUAUAUAUAUAUAUAUAUAUAUAUAUAUAUAUAUAUAUAAUAAAAAUUAAAAAGUAAAUUAUAAAUGAUUUAGAAUUUAAUAAUUAUUUGGAAGUCGGGACGAUAAAAAAAAGAAGAUGAAUUUUCAAACAAUAAUAAUAAUAUAUGAAGUAUAAAAACUUCUGAAAUAUAGAAUCAUUUUUCUUUAUAUAUAUGAAAAUUUUUAUUUCCAAUACCUUUCAAGAUUAAAGUUUUGUUUUUAAACAAAAACAGCCACAAUUUUGAUAUUUUUCUCUUUCCGUUAUUCACACAAAAAGGCGGUAAAAAUGCAGAAGAGGUUGAGAAAACUGCUGUAUGAGCAUGACAAUGGCUACCUCACUUUUCCCCAAUCCUUCUCUACAAAAAUGGGCUUAGGAACUUGCUGAAGUCAAUGUCGGUAAAGAUAGUAAGGUGGGUACCUCUCAAUUCUGCAUUUCACCUAGUGGGUCUCCCCAAAAUUUCAAUAUUUUCUGCGGAUGAAAUUCGUAUUAGCGGGUUCUCACUUUGAUUACUAUUGUGAUUUGGAAUUUUCUGACUGGUCUUGCAAUUUUAAAAUCUGGGUUUGCAUUUUCAGCAUCUGGGUCGGUUGAAUUUUUGAAUAUUUCAGUCGUAGCUUUCUGGGUACUUAGUGUAACUGGAAUUCAUGUAAGAAGUUAGUAGCUUAUUUUGAAAAUUUUGGAUAGGGAUUAUAGGGACAAUCCAACAAAUAAUGUACUAGGUUGUUAUUAUUAUUUCUCUCAGAACUGCAAUUUUGAAUUUCUUCGCUGUCUCUUUAUUUUGCCGAAGGUAUUGGGUGAGAUCGUAACCCAUUCUGGGUUUCUUGAAUUCCGUCCAUUUUUCUUGAUGUAUUUAGUUUGUAGACGUGAAGAGGGAUGGCCUCACAAACAAUUAUUAUUGUUAUUAUUCCAAAUUUGGGAUGCAACUUUACAAGAGGGAUCAACACCCUGUUUGGAUUCUGAAGGCUCAAUCAAAUUCCUAAAUCCGAUGAUCUUUGAUCAAUUGUUUCUGUAAAAGAGGUACCGCCAUGGGUUCUUUAGGAAGUUCAUUACGAAAUUCUGUGCUCUUAUGAACUCUUAUUUCUCGUAUAGGUGUGUUUUUAUCAAUUUGAGGAACUGGUGUUUGAUAUUUUUGCUCUGCCUCCUUGUUGCUUAAUGAUCAAAGAGAGAAUGAUUAGAGUUUGCAUAUGACUUCAUUUUAUUCUCUCGGAUAUGAUAAAUAGGAAAACUGGAAUCUAAGAAAGUCCACUAAGGACUUUCAGUUUCUGAUGUUUAGUAAGGAUAUUGAUUUUCUGCAGCUUUAUCCUGCUUCAUUAUUUGGUUUCCCUCAUGUACUCUAAAUGAAAAUUUUGUCUAGAUAAAUGAAAGCACUCCAUAGAUAAUUUUGAAGAAAAAGUUUAUUUGGAUAAAUGCACUAUGCUGAGAAUGACCCUUGUGUAAGAAAGCUUGCUUGAAUGAAGCUUUUGUGAGUAAAAAUUCAAUGUGUAAGAAGUCUUAUUGUUUUUCCUUUAAAACCAUGGUGUAGUAUUACUUUCUUAUCUUGUCCAUGUCUUAAAAUGUAUGGUUUCAAUAAGAUGUUCAUAAACAUCCCCACUCUAAUUUCUUGUGAAACUAUUCAAUUCUUGGUUUGUUUUUCUCAAUUCAUUCUUCUAUAUUAAUUUGUGUAUGUUUUUCCAUAAGCGUUGUAUUGUCAGUAAGGGUAGAAAUGUGUUACAAUUUCAAAGAGUAGAAAUAUUCCAUAAUGUCCUCAAGACAAAUCCUAUUUAUUGGUUUUUUUCCCAAUAUUCAUAGCAAUAUUUAUGGUACUUUGCUUUCUUCUGAACUCUUCUGAAGUAAAUUUGGGUUUUAGUUACUAAUACUAACAAGUGGUACUUUUUCUUUAUUGAUGUUUGACUUUGUUUGCAUAUUGAUUAGAUAGUUUUGAACUUUUGUAAGAGUUAUCCAUGCAUUUUUAUGAUUGAAUCUACUUGCAGAAUUUUUAUGAUGUCUUGGUUCCUGCUGAUCAUGUGAGCAUGAGUUGCCAUUGCAAGUGGGCAUCAGACAGAGCUGUUUUAGGAUGGGGCAUACUCAUGACUGGAGAUGUUUACUGGAGAGAUUACGUUGAUUCGACUCAUUAUCCUGUAUUUUAUCAGGUUUCUUAUCUCUUAUAAUUGCAAUUCAAUGGCUACUUUCUUAAAGUUAUCUUCUUAAUUCAUCACAAUGGAAAAAAAAUUCGUCUAUGCAGUGGGAAGGAGUUUGUCUUUUUUCCAGGGGGGAGGUGUCUGGUACAGAUGCCACAUGUUAUGCAGCUGAUGAUUGUGUUGUAGGUUAUGCCACUAUUUGCAAAAUUUAGGUGAAAGCAUGUGAUGUAGGACAACCCUAGGAUGGUUGCCUACACACACUCAAGGGUAGGUGGGCUAGGGUUUUAUUUUUAGGGUGUAAAGAGAGGAACAAGGAAUACACUUUAUGGUAAAGAAAAUUAUAAGAUAAGAAAUAGAGAGAAAGAAAAAACAAUGAAGAAAAGAUGGAAAACCUUAGAGUCUCACUAAGGCCUUCUAGGAGUCUCACCUAGAAGAAAAUCAAUGGAGUCUCACCAUUGAGGGUUGCAACCUUGCAAUAAAAGAAAGUAUAAUAUUAUUCAUCAAAUUCAUCCCUUUGAUUUACAUUGAUUAGCCUAUUUAUAGGCUUUUCUAAGAAAUCCAAAGUCUACUAGGACUCUAAUAACCUAUUAUGAUUCUAAUUAUAAUUAUAAUAUCCAAAGUCUACUAGAACUCUAAUAACCUAUCAUGACUCAAAUUCUAAUUAUAUUAUAACUCAGCUAGCUAAUCCUAAUUAGACUCCAACAAAUAUUAAUCCUAAUUUAAUUCCAAGUAAUAAUAAUCCUACUUUAAUUACAACUAAUACUAAUUCCCUUUCUUGAUAUAUAUCUUGAAUAUUCAUCCUCAUCAAUUCCCCCUGACUUGAAAAAAACUCGACCUCGAGUUUUAGUGAUUUUCCACGAUCAAUUGAAAUUCCGAGCAAUGCCUUCCACCCUUUCUUUCUUCGUCGUCUCUUUCCCAUGGUAAGACAAGAUCUCAAGAUCUCUUGAACUUGUUCAAUUUCAUGCAAGACAAAUACUGGACUUCGAAAAACUUUUUAAUGUUGUACAACAAGUUGAUAAUUCUCGAAAUAAUUAUGUGUCUUCAACAAACUUGUGGGAAGUUGUUUCCCACACUCUUCUUGUAAAUUGUUUUGUGGAAGAAUAAGAUUCUUGAAUUCCCUAUAUUCAAAAGAAAUUUCAGCAGAUUCUUCAUGUUUGCCACCACUCACGAUAAUGUUUGGCCUUGGGAAGUCAAACAUCGAUUCUUCUAAAACUUCUUCAACUUCUUUGAGCUCUUCUAUUGGUUGAUCUAAGAUUAGUUUCAUCACCUCUUGCUUUCUAGAUUCAUCAUUGAUGAUUUCUUCGUCCUUUCUAGUAACUUCGACUUGCUUUUUAAUAAGAAUAUUUGAUGGCUCUUCUAGUUUCAAGGGUGCCACUUUUUCCUCUGGUUGCUUAUGUGGUGGAAUUUCCUUCAUUGGACGAAGGAUCUUCUUUCGCCCAUUGCGCACAAGUGUGUAAGUGUUCUCAUAGCCAUCAUGUUGGACCCUUUCAUCAAAAAGCCAUGGUCUUCCAAGCAUAAUAUGGGCAACUUUCAUCGGCAAAACAUCACACCAUGCUGAUAACUCAAAAUUUUUACUGAAAUUAAACGUCACUAGACAACGAGAACUCACCAAAAUAGAUGCGUCAUUUACCCAUGCUAUUUGAUAGGGAUUUGGAUGAUCUUCUGUCUUUAGAUUAAGCUUCUCAACAAGCUCCUAUGAAGCUAGAUUGGAACAACUACCUCCAUCAAUAAUCAAAGUACAUAGUCUCCCUUGACAAGCAACACGAGUUUGGAAGAUGCUAGUACGUCGCCAUAUCCUCCUCUUCAUUUAGCCUUGGUAUGUUCACCAAUGGCUGCAUAAAAAAGUUGUAGCCUUCAACCAUGUUUGCAUACGUUGCUCUACUCCUCAAUUACAUAUGCCUUCAUGCCAAGAAUUUUCGCUCUGAUACCAAAAUUGAUGUAGGACAACCCUAGGAUGGUUGCCUGUAUCAAGGGUAGGUGGGCUAGGGUUUUAUUUUUAGGGUGUAAAGAGAGGAACAAGGAAUACACUUUAUGGUAAAGAAAAUUAUAAGAUAAGAAAUAGAGAGAAAGAAGAAACAAUGAAGAAAAGAUGGAAAACCUUAGAGUCUCACUAAGGCCUUCUAGGAGUCUCACCUAGAAGAAAAUCAAUGGAGUCUCACCAUUGAGGGUUACAACCUUUUAAUAAAAGAAAGUAUAAUAUUAUUCAUCAAAUUCAUCCCUUUGAUUUACAUUGAUUAGCCUAUUUAUAGGUUUUUCUAAGAAAUCCAAAGUCUACUAGGACUCUAAUAACCUAUUAUGAUUCUAAUUAUAAUUAUAACAUCCAAAGUCUACUAGAACUCUAAUAACCUAUCAUGACUCAAAUUCUAAUCAUAUUAUAACUCAACUAGCUAAUCCUAAUUAGACUCCAACAAAUAUUAAUCCUAAUUUAAUUCCAAGUAAUAAUAAUCCUACUUUAAUUACAACUAAUACUAAUUCCCUUUCUUGAUAUAUAUCUUGAAUAUUCAUCCUCAUCAGCAUGUGUCAAGGGAAAGCAAACCUAAUAAUGUUAGAUGAUGCCAUGGUGACAAAUAUGGUUUGGGAAUUGUUCAUCAAGUUGAAUAAUUUUGGAUCUAAGAAUAAAUCAGAAUAAGUUGGUGAAAAAAAAAAGUAUAAAUAUAUUGGGAAAAUCAGUUCAUGUUAGAAAAAGAAAAUGCAAUGUUUUACAUUCUGGAGUUAAAUCAAUAGAAUUCAUAAUAGUUAUGGAGUAUUGAUAUCCAAGAUAUUUGUGAGAAUAAUCACAAAUCACUUAAAUAGGUAUGACAAAACUGGGUUUGGUACAGUGAAUAAAAAUGUGUCUUUAUGGUUAUUAUUUUCUUUGAAUUUAUGAAAUACCAUGUUGGGGUGGUUAUUUUCUGAAUCACCUUUAGAUAAAUUUGUCUAAUUUUCCAGUGAUAUCAAAAUGCACUUGAUCGGUACAUAUUUCCUAUUCUCCAGGCUGUUAUUUGAACUUGAGAUAUAUUUUCAAGUAUACUCUUUAAUUUUGUUAUUUUUACGUGAUCAUGCUGCAUUUAUUUCCUGUUUUCUUUAAGCACUUUAAAUGAACCACUUUUCUGGAGAGUUUGCUCCUUUUUUCCACCUGUUUGAUCCUUUACUAGUCCUUUUGUCAAAGGGUUAUUUUACCUUUUGCAAACCAUGAAGAAGAAUUAAUUUACUUAAGAAAGUAAAGUGAGUUUUAUUUUGUUUGGUGAAAUGUCUAACUUUUGUGUACUGCAAAAAGCAAAACUCAGUGCUUGAUGAAUUCUAAUUCUUGUAAGAGCAAUAUUGAUAGUUAAAAAACAGAAGUAUAAAAAUGGAAAGAAUAGUAAUUUGAGGUUGUGUAGGUUAUACCAAUUGACCUUUUGCUAGCUGCGAUAUCUGGAACACUUUUCCAAUGAUUGGGGUUUUAGAAACAUUCUUAUUAUUAUUAUUAUUAUUUUAUCAGAAACCUAAUAGAUCUUUUCUCUUAACUAAAAAGAUCAAGAAGGACAAGACAUCCUUCCACAAUGUAGGAAUUUAGAUCAAGACAAGGCAAUGGAUUCCUUUACCCAUACCCAUAUGGUUGAACAAAUGAGAUAGAUUACAAAAAGUGAAACAACAUUUGGAACAAAAAUUAGAUAAGAUUCAAGGAGGCACAUAAUCUCCAAUAAAAGAUACCAGUUGCUUAUGUCUGACACUGUUUUAGAUCCUUAGGUACCAACUCCAUUAGAUAUGCAAGAGGAUGAGUUUUAUGUGCUUAUGUAACUAUUUUCCAGGACCUUUUGUGGGAGAUUUGCUUCAUAAGUAUGAUUUAUGAUGUAAGGAUGCUCAACGGCACAUGUUUUGUGGAUUAUAUUAUGGCCAGCAUUUUUGGCUUGAUUGCUGAAGAAAAAUUCAUAAAUACUUUAGCAUACAAAAUCCUACAAAUAAAUCUACACAUGUACAGAAAUGUUUUCUACUUGUUGCAUGAAUAAUUUAGAUCUCUCUAGAUUUGGGGAGUUUCUGUUUCUAGAACCCAUGUUCAUGAUAAAGAAUGACAUGCGAGAUCUUGUCUGCAUCCAUAGGUGAUAGUUCGGUAGCAACACUUGCUGUUUGAAAAUCUUCCUCCCUAUUGUGAACAAUGUGUUAAGUUUAAUGACUGGACUAUACAUGUUUUGGUGUGGAUUGUUAUGGUUUAACCUAACAAACAAGAGAUUCUUGUGUGAAAGGAGUGUUGUGCUCCCUAAUAUGAUGGUAAAGCUAUGCUUGAUUCCUGGAAAGUCUGAGGGAAAGAAAAUAAGUAGAAAAAUAGGAAGAAAGAAAAAGGUAAGAAAAAAUUAUAAAUUUUUUUUCUUGUUCGAUUGUCUAUGGAAAAAAAAUUAAAUUCUUUGAGUGAUGCACUUUCCUUACCGUCUUUCAAGUAAAAGGAGGAGGAAAAUCUUUUGCCAUCCCUUCCCCCUUCCUUGCCUUUUUCCAUAGUAUCCAAACAUAAGAAAAUUACUAUCCUUGACAUUUUUUUUUCUGUGCUUAGCACUUUUUCAAGAACUAAACAUAGGCUAAAACUACCUUCUUUCACUUUAACCUCAAGGAACAGUUACAAUAUAUUGCUGUCAUAAGCACUAUAGACAUGGGUGCUCUAGUGUUGUGUAUAUACAUAAGCAUUGGACUUUUUUUUAUAGACACUAAUCAUUAAACUUGUUAUUGACUUGCAUGAGAGAAGUACACAUUUGGAGGGAUUUGUAGUACCUUUUUUUUUUAUUACCUUCCUCACCUUUGCUGAAAAUAACAACUUUGGCAUAAAGAAAAGAGUCUUGUGGAAUAAUAUAAUAAAAUUUUCUUUGCUAGGGGGUGUGCUAAUAUGUGGGCUAUUUUAAAGCUAUCUAAAACAACAUAUACAUCUCUUUACUUUUGGGAGGUUAUUCAUAAUCAUAUUUUAUAUUUACCUCAAUCUCACGAUAAUGGAAACUUUGUGAUAGAUUUUUCAGAUUUUGAUUUUUUUUUUACAUAUGAGAGUUGAAUCAAGAGAUGAGUAAUUGUGAUUUUAGGGGUAGUAUAUUUUAUAAUUAGCCUUCAUGGUGCUUAGUUAAUGAGUUUUGUUUUAUGAUGGUAAAUAGUUAUGCAGUCACAUUCAGUAUUUUCAAAUCUAUGUUUAUAACUUGAAAUUGUUUUGCUAGUAAAUUAUCAUUGUGGAGUUAUUGCAUUUGUAUUUUUCUUUUUAAUACUAGUGCAUAUAAUUCUGCAUCCAAUCUCCAAUAAUUUGUCCAGGGAAAUGGCUAGAAGUUUUGGGUUGUGUGGUGACAAAGCAAGAAAUAUGAAAGAAGAUUGGUAAAUCAAAUAAUAUUGCUUGAGCUUAUGCUAGAUAUUUGGCUUUUCUGACUGUGAAGCUGUCAUUUAACCUAAAAGUUUAAGUUGUUUGAUAAUGGACCAAUAAUGUAUAUUAUGCCAAUUUUCACUUGGUCUAAAAUGCUAACAUCCCACCUCAUGGUCCUUGUUUGGGUUAUUAGGCUUUCAUGUGUGCUUAAUAAAAAAGGGAAAUUAGACAUCAGUGAGGUUCGAAUCUGACACCAUGUUAAGCUUCCAAUUAUCCUAAAAGCUUUUGUUUGGGCUUUAACUCAAGUAUAAAUUGCCAUGAUACACAUGGUUAGCAUAUAAUCUAACAAUUUAAACUUUUAGGUUAAUUGGUAGUUUAACAUGGUAUUGGAACUAUUGGAAAACCGAAACUGAUAUGGAAGGAAAUAACUUUGUAAAGCUGUAAAUUAGCUAUUAGUUGUCAAUCUUUGUAUUUUUAGGAAAGUAAUUGUUAGGAGUUAUUCUUUCCCUUUAAUCAAUGAUUUAGUUUCCAGAUUUGAAGGAUUUGUAUAUGCUGUAAACUCUAUAAAAGAAUAAUCUCAAUGAAAGAAUAUUAUUCCCGUGAAACCCUAUUCUUCAAGUUGGUAUCAAAGCUAGCAAUUUGCUAGCCAAAAUCCUCCUUCUUCCUCUCUUUCAAUCCCUGUUCUCUUUGAAACCAUGUCGGAUAUUUCAAACGAGUCCACUACUGUUCCUUAAGAUUGAAAGAGAGGAAGAAGGAGGAUUUCGGCAGGCAAAUUGCUAGCUUUGAUGCCAACUUGAAGAAUAGGGUUUCACGGGAAUAAUAUUCUUUCAUUGAGAUUAUUCUUUUAUAGAGUUUACAACAUAUACAAAUCCUUCAAAUCAGGAAACUAAAUCACUGAUUAAAGGGAAAGAAUAACUCCUAACAAUUACUUUCCUAAAAAUACAAAGAUUGACAACUAAUAGCUAAUUUACAGCUUUACAAAGUUAUUUCUUUCCAUAUCAGUUUCGGUUUUCCAACCAGUUGUAGUGCCAGCGAAAGCUUUGAUGCCAACAAUGUUAGUUCAAGAACACAAAGAUAAAACAAUCACUCAUACGGUACACACGGUUUUAACGUGGUUUGGCCAACCAUGCCUACGUCAACGGAUAAGAGAAAAUGAUUCCACUAUACAAUAGAAAAUAUUACAAAGGACAGAACCAGAUACAACUAUUGGGUUUCCGAAACAUCCCAUGUUUCCCCACUCCUUGUAUCCAUACCUUACUCUCGUUCCACUGGGUACCUCCCGUUCUUCCUCACAUCUUUAUCCACCUCGUAUAGUCUCUACAGGUCCAUCUCCAUCUCAUAACUUUUUCCCCUCAUGACCUAGAAUAUUUAUAGAAAUAUUUCCAACAACCUUCCUUAUUCAAUAAGGAAGUCUAAUAUUACAAUAAUAUAUCAACCUAGAAAUAUUCUAUAUAAUAUUCUUUACAAAAAAGGAAUCUAUACUAAUUAGGAAUUUGGGACACUUCCUAACAAUCUCCACCUUGGACCAAAUUACAUGAAGUUAAUCUUCAAUCUCUCCAUGACACAAACCUUUUUGUAUCAUAUCACCACGAAAGAGCAAUCGACUCCACCUUCAGUGAAAAUUCCUUUUGUUUUCAUCUUGUGUGCUUUGUGAUUUUUUACUCUUCUAGAAAUCUUCAACCCAAGCUCUAAUACCAAUUGUAGUGCUAACGAAAGCUUUGAUGCCAACAAUGUUAGUUUAAGAACACAAAGAUAAAACAAUCACACAUACGGUACACGAGGUUUUAACGUGGUUCGGCCAACCAUGCCUACGUCCACAGAUGAGAGAGAAUGAUUCCACUAUACAAUAGAGAAUAUUACAGAGGAUAGAACCAAAUACAACUAUUGGGAUCCCGAAACAUCCCAUGUUUCCCCACUCCUUGUAUCCAUACCUUACUCUCAUUCCACUGGGUACCUCCCAUUCUUCCUCACAUCUCUAUCCACCUCGUAUAGUCUCUACAGGCCCAUCUCCAUCUCAUAACUUUUUCCUCUCAUGACCUAGAAUAUUUAUAGAGAUAUUUCCAACAACCUUCCUUAUUCUAUAAGGAAGUAUAAUAUUACAAUAAUAUAUCAACCUAGAAAUAUUCUAUAUAAUAUUCUUUACGAAAAAGGAAUCUAUACUAAUUAGGAAUUUGGGACACUUCCUAACAAUCUCCACCUUAGACCAAAUUAUAUGAAGUUAAUCUUCAAUCUCUCCAUGACACAAACCUUUUGUAUCAUAUCACCAGUUACAACUAUUGGGUUCCCGAAACAUCUCAUGUUUCCCCAUUUCUUGUAUCCAUACCUUACUCUCGUUCCACUGGGUACCUCCCGUUCUUCCUCACAUCUUUAUCCACCUCGUAUAGUCUCUACAGGCCCAUCUCUAUCUCAUAACUUUUUCCCCUCAUGACCUAGAAUAUUUAUAGAGAUAUUUCCAACAACCUUCCUUAUUCUAUAAGGAAGUCUAAUAUUACAAUAAUAUAUCAACCUGGAAAUAUUCUGUAUAAUAUUCUUUACAAAAAAAGAAUCUAUACUAAUUAGGAAUUUGGGACACUUCCUAACAAUAGGAACCUUGUUUUAUGCGAGGUCAUGAGUUUGAAACUCAUUGCUUGCUUAUUUCCCCAAUGUGUUGAGCCCACUUAUGAUCCCAAAUAAGGUUGCUCUCUCUACCUGUGAAGUGGAAUGUAAGGUUACGGCCCAAAUAAGCUUCCGUGAGGCAAGGUAUUAGGGUUGUAGCCCAAAUAAGCUUCCUUGAGAUGUAGUGUUAGGGUUGUAGCCCAAAUAAGCCUAAUAUACAUUGUUGGUCGACUAUUUAAUAGUGCUGCCCAUGAGGUGGGUUGUACCCAAAUAAGCUUAAUAUACAUUGUUGACUUACUACCUCACAGGGCUGCCUGAUUGUGGCCUAAAUGAGCUUCACUACCUAACAACUUAAACUUUUAGUUAUUUGUUUUCUCCUCCUUGUAUGUAUGCCGAAUGUGUUUUGAUUAAUCAUUUUGAAAAUGGAAAUACCUUAGAAAAUAAAUGUUGGUCAAAAUUGACAUUCUUCCUAACAUGUAGUGCACCUGAAUGGACUUUUUGUUUGCAAUUUUCCAAGGACCAGCUUUUAAGUUCAAGAUAUUCUCAAAGAUAUUAAUUGUGCAUUUUUAAAGCAAAUAAUAUUAUUAUCUUCUUUGGAGGCCCAAAUAUUAUUGAAAUGUUACAUAGGUUUCCACAGCAGCUGUUUUGUAGGUUUACAUUUUUAAGUAUUAGUAAAGCAAAAUCCUUGAGAGAAAUUUUCUUUUCACUUGUGUCAUCAAAAGGUUUAUUUUGAUGAAUUCAUUAACUAGGUUCCUAGACAUAGCCACUCAGAACUUAUUCAUUAGGACUGGGUUUUUUGUCCUUGUGCAGUGUCCACCUUGCUACAAAGACAUGAGUUUUCGGAUUAAUAUAUCAUUCACUGAAAUAAUUUAUGUGAACUUGUCAGAGGAAUUGCUUGGGAUCGUUGAGGAGGUAUGUUUUCUGAUUUUUUAAAUUUUGCUCUGGAGCUGUAAAUUUUGUUCAGUGGACGGUGUUCUCCCAAUGUUUUUUGUAGUUUGUUUUGCAGAGUUUCUUUUAAUCAAUUUUGAAUAGGUUAUUGAGGGCAUGUUUGGGUAUUGCUCUAUUUUCUCUUUUAGCUAUUGAUGCGAGGUUAGCUUCCCAUAUUCCCUGUGUUGAUAAAUUUGCUGCGGCUCAUGCUGUGGAGAUCUGGAAGCUAAUUGUGGAUCACUUCUGUUCUUUCCAUUCUGGUCAUUUUAUUUGUUUAAGCCCAUAUAUGAUCACUUUUAAUUUCGUAAGUGACAUCAUAUUUUCAACUCUUCACUUUAGUUUGUGGUGAUGAUAUCCUUUUCUGUAAAUUCAUCAUUCUAGAAGAUGUUGUGCCAACAUGUACUGUAGACACAAAGAAAUUCAAACAUGGUCUGACUGCUGAUGUUAAAAGGUGAAAGCUAGAAGUGAACUGUCGGCAACAAGUCAUCUGUUCUAGGCCUAAAUAAACUGAUGGAUGCAUACAUGAAAGUUAUGUGAAUUCUGUAGCAUAAUUGUAAGCUUCUCCAAUCUUGGUUACUCACCAAAAACUAAUACUCUUUUCUCAAACUGGUUUGUGUCUAUGACAUCACUUUUUGUCUGUGAGAAAGUGAGGAGGUUGUAAGAAAAUCUCUUUAAAUUGAAAGAGGUUAAAUGGCAAUUUCUGUUGUUGAACUGGCUAGAUAGCCAAGGGUGUACAAAAAUAUAUUUUGAUGGGUAACUUUAUUUAUUUAUUUUUUGGUGUCCUACUGGGACUUGAACAUGGAACCUCCCACAUUCCCAUUCCAAGCAAUUGGCACCUGAGUCAAGCCUCAAGGGCAAAGGGUGUAUGAGAAUGUUCAAUAUCGUUACCAUUUUUUUCCUUGUGAGAGGUUACUUGUUGCCUUCAUUAAAGAUUGCUCUUGCCAACACUUUUUAGGGUAUCUGGUGUUCGAUUGCAGAAGGCCAAUAUUAUCCAUUUUUCCCUGUGGGUUGAAACUAAGUUUGUUUGGAAGUUCAUCUGAACUAGUAAUACAUAUUUUAUUGCCAAGUCUGAUUGAUCGACAAGUUCACCGAGAAGAACAGAAUGACCAGCCACUAUUAUAGGAUUGCAUAUAGGUCCAUGGAAUGUGCAUUUGCAGGAAAUAAAUGAGCUAUAGAUAUUUUAUAUGAAAGGAAAUUUCAUUGAAUUGAUGCUUGUGUUGGAAAAUCAGAAAAAAAAAAAAAAAAACAUCAUUUCUAAUCAAUUAUUGCAGCUGCAGUGGAAUGCAAAAGAAUGAGUUCAAAGCAGGCUGAAUGAUGUUCUUUGAUGAGUGUCUCUGGUUCAUGGGAUCCCCUUCUGCAACUUAUGUCAUGUAAAUUUCUUUUCCUUUCCUUCUUUGAUAAAAAAUUAUAAGGAUUUACGUUUUUCUCUUGUACACAUUGUUUUAAUUGACAGAAGUUCACACCAUCUGCUGGUACCUAGUGUGAACCCUUGUACGCAUCAAGGCCACCCCCAAAACCCCAGUUUAAUAUUUGACAUGUGAAUCGGGAGCCAGCUCUAACAAUCCAAGAACUCUAGUAACAUAUCUUUUUUGAAAAAGUUGUAUCCAUUUGUUCAACGUGUGAUUCUAAAGCAGUAAAGACUUCCAUCACAAUUUUCCUUUCUAAUGUUUCCACAGUUUUUUCUGAUGAUUCUAUUUGCAGAGACCUUAAUGGUUGAAAUUGGGAAUUUAAACACUUGGCCAAACUCAAUGGAUGAAGAUCUUCGCUGAUCCUAUGAUUUAUUACUCAAAUGCCCGGUCAGUAAGCUCUGUAACGAUAAUCCAUCAUACCUGUGUGAUAAUAAAUCAUCAUAGCCAUAUUUUUCAGGUCAUACAUUUCUUUCCUUCAUUUUUAUUUUCAUUAGUUUAUUUCCCUUUGCUAAAUGGAAGUCAGGGAUAAGCGAUAGAUGUUAAGGCUCAUCCAUCUUUUUUUUUAUCCAUUCUGGCCUGGGUUUGGGCCAGGCAUUGAGGUCUGCCUCAAGAUCUGUGCAUUAUUGGUUGAUUGUAAAUUAUGCAGCUAGGAACAGUGUUGAAGAAACAGAAUAAUUGGAAACUGGGUUUUAUAAUAAACUAGUUUAUCUCUUUUAUCUUUAUGCUUCUGCAUCCUGCUGCUUUAGAUUAUGUCUCAGAUCCUAUGCCACGUAGUGUGUACAUACUGAGUGUUUUAUGCAAUUGGGCUUUGAUUCUGAACUUAAUUCCUGCAUUAGUUUGUACUUGUUUGUUUGUUACUUUUAUGCUAUUAUUCUGUACCUUGAUAAUUCUACUUGUAUCAUAUACUUGGUCCGGUUUGGGUUGGGCCGGAUGGUGGUAGACCAGAUCCCACCUUGAAACCCAAUCCUGAACUUGAUGUUCUGGGGUUUAGGCAAAGGUUCUAACCCAAUCAAGAAGACAAGCUUAAGAUAUGAGUACGAAGAUUCAGAUUUACCAAGUGAGAGACAAUAUUUAAGAUAGAUUCAGCAACUAGGAGUAUGACCCAGUAAGUAGUUAAGACCAUCCCAAACCAAGAGAGAACACCAGGUGGGUUGCUAUAGGCCAUCAUAAAUUUUCCCAAUAAAUGAAGCAAGGCUCAGAAAACUGAAGUUUGGAUAGUUAAAAAAAAAAACCGGUUAGAAGAGGCCAAAUCUAAAGAUGGGAACUUCAAUUAAUGUAAAAACUGGAGAGGUGGGAGUUUGAAGUUCUCAUUUCCUUAAUCAAUCCUCAGAAUUUUUCAAGAAGUCUCAUUCUUGUUCAUCUGAAAGAGCCACAAGUCAACAGCUAAGGGAAAAUUAUCCUUUCAUCCAGAGUAUUUUCACUCUUGUUUGGCUGUCAAGUAUCUUGAAGUCCUAUAUAAACAUUCAGCUUGGAGUAUGGGACAAUGAUAGAAUCAUGAUUUGGAGAGCAUGAGGGAAAAUGAGUAGAAAAUAUGAGUUUAUUAUAAUCAUUUUGUGUUUUUAUUGCAUCAUAAAAACAAAGAGAAAAUGGGAAAAAGAAAAAAAAAAAAAAGAGAGAGAGAGAGAGAGAGAGAGAAAUAGAGCAUCCGUCAUGAUCAUGAUUAGAUACUGUGGAUAGCAGGGGGUAGAAAUUAAAGAUGCUAUCAGGGCUAGUGGUAGUAGAGUAGGGCAGAGUAGGGUUAGGCACAGUGAGUAGGGUCAAAGGAAGGAUAGGAACGAAGACCAAUGGUCAAAGGGUUGGACAAUGAUAGGGGUCUGGAAUAUCUGAUGUUGGGUCCAUUCCCUCCAGUACACUAGAAGAGUGACUUGGAUGUCCCUCUGCUUCUUUUAUAUUCAAUACAAAACAAACCCCCCUGCUGGGACCAACCCACCUCACUGACCUCACCUCGCUCUCUCUCUCUCUCUCUCUCUCUCUCAGUCUUCAUUGCAUUAUCAUCAUCAUCACAAUGUCUACCAUGUCUAUUGUGUCUAUGCAGCAGUGGUAGUAGUUGUUGUGUUGAAAGGAGGUAACCACUGUACUACCCCCCAAUACAUCAAUACCCCAACAAUACCACCCACACAGGUGUCUCUAGAGCUGUACUCCUCCCACCCCUCCUUUCUCAUUCAUUUUCAAGCUACCCUUUUCACACUUUUGAUUUGCACCCUUGAUAUCACCUCUAGGAAAUAGAAAUUCUUGAUUAAGGGCAGGCUGAAAGUUGAAAGAUAAAAGAUGAUGAGGAUGGAAAAAGAGAAAUAGCUUUUGCAAAGGCACAAUGGUCAAAAGGAGGGGACACAAGAAGCCGCCAAGUCAGAGAGAGAGUGGGUUGGGGGUUGUAUCAUACUAUCUUGUAUGCCAAUGGUAAUGCCAAUGGCAAUGACAAAGGGCUGCAGCUUACAAAAAGGCUGACAGAUGUCAGAGUAUGAUAGGGAUGGGUGAUAUAUGUAAUUAGAUGGGACUAAGCCAAGCUCUCUCUCUUUCUCUAUCUCUAUCUCUCCCUCUCAUAUAUUUAAAUAUAUAUAUAUAUAUAUUAGAUGGGUGUCUCCCAAGUCCCAUCCCACUCCCAACCACUCAGAUUCUGCAGGCUUGACGGAGCUCUGCUUUUUGUUGCUUUUUGCAAACAUAUCAAUCAUUGGGAACUUGAACAAACCUUGAUGCCUGUCUUUUUACCAAUCCCCAUUUAUGUUCCUCUUAAUUUCUCUCCCCACCUAACCAACUCUCUUACUGCUCCCCCACCUCCAUACAGAUUACAUAAUUACAUUACUUCUCACUAUGUGCCCAUACAAUCAAUUUAACCUUAGUCUAACUCUCCUUCCUUCAUGGUUCUCUAAACCUCACUUACAUUUAGUGUUUUAUUACUGUAAUUUCUUGUCCUUCAUGAUUUCUCAUGACAUUGCACUCGGAGCAUAUACAAAACUCCCUGCCCUUCAAAAUUUUCCCUGUUUACUUUUCUUAGUAGUGCUUCUUUAUUUCAUACUUGUUUGCAGGGUAAAAGGUUUCUAACAUGCACCCAUCCUAGACCACUAUUCUGAAUUCACUAUCUCUUGUUUUUAUUGUCUAACCCACUAACACCAUGAUAUUUUUUGAAUUAUAUAGGAUAACUGUAGUCUGUAGCCUAUAACCAUAAUAUCAAUUGCUUUUUAUCACACUUCAAAUUAUUUUAGGGAAAAUUCUAAGACGUAUGAUUAAAUCUAGAUCAAUGAAUGAAAGGUAUAAAGAAAUAAGACAGCUACAAAGUAACAAGAACUUUUUGGCCACGUGGUUGUUCUUGAUUGGACAUCACUAGCACCAUAGCAAGAUCCUUAUCCUAGCUUUUGAGUUUAUGCAUGUUACUGAGAUAUGGAAAAACGUUUAUGCCAACACCCCACUGAGGAAGAAUGGGCCAGCACUGUUUGUACCAACACCCAACUAAGGAACACCAAGCCUAAAGUUAGGUUUGAAAAAGCACUACUUUUGGACCUUUUUUCUAAAGAAGAAUCUUCAAUGAUUGUACAGAGGCUGCUUGCUUAAAGAACAACAUCUUUAGGAACCAAAGGCUUUAUGAUUCGGAUGGCACAUUCAAAUCUAAACCCACACCUUGAACCAACUUGAUGAAAAUUUUUGUGGAAGAAAAUUAGGUUUUAUGCUUGAAUUUGCUUUUGAUUUCACUUUUAAUGGACUAAAACCAAUGCUGUUCCUUGAAGACAUAGUCAAAAUUCUAUGCUGCUCUGGUGGCUCCUACAAUAAUUGAGAGAGGCACAGUAGAGGCUGAAGGGCUAUAGUAGCAGAGAAUUUUAGUAUGAUGAGGAGUUGAACAAAGUACAUACAUAACAUCUAUGGAAAGAAAAAAAAGAACCAAGUACAAAUCUAUCAUGGAUGAUAAAAGGGUUUUAUGCUAUGCUCUUUAUGGGUUUUUUCCAACUCCUUUCCAACUCUAAUAAUAUUCUUCGCAUUCUAAUCACAUUCCUUCUCUCUCUGUCAUAUUUUUACUUCAAAUAUAGUACUGAAAGUAGCUGUAUUGUGUGGCUAAGAAAUAGUCUGAAAAUUGAGAAUCUAACAACAAUGGGGAGUAGAAUGGUUUCAUAGAUAGGGACACAAUUCAAAUAGCUACUAAUUUGAUGGGUGUUUGGAGUUAUUGGAACACCAUUGCCCAAGUUUGGAUCUUGUUGCAGAUUCAUCUUUUCUCCUCCCAUAUGUCAUGUGUGUGUGAGACAUUGUGUACUCUGUAUCCUUUUAACCCUGGCACGUGAUCUAGACUUUUUGACUCAUUUGUUAUUUGUGAGUUGUGAUCUAUGCUAUAUGGUACUUUGAAUGGGCUUGGCCAUUGAUUUCAAAUUGUCCUAGUUUCUUUUGGGUCACCCCAUUUUUAUCCUUCUUAUCCAUACUACUACUAUCUUAGGAAAAUACCACAUGUAUCAUACUAAAUUCAAAAUCUAAAAGAAGAAAUAAGACUCAAGUUUGUAACAAUUUGUUCUCUUCGGUUUAGAUAUCGUUUGUUUUAAGUUUAACGGGUUCUUGAGGUUCUAAAAUAUAUCUACAUGAUUAAGAGAAUUCACUUUUCUAAUGACAUUAUAGACCUCUUUUAGUUAAAUGUUAAUGGAAAUUGGUGCAAACCCUCAUGAGUAGGUGUUGCAAUAUGAGCUCUUGGGAAUUAGGACAUGUUUGGCAGACAAAGUUGGAGAAUUCAAGAACAGAUGGCAGAGGCAGUAUAAGCUAUAUGAACCAAAACCCACCUCCCCUGCCACCUAGAGAGCUGUGAAAUCAUCUCUUCUUGUUGGGAUUUAGAGGUCAGAGUACCCAAAUUGCAUUAUUGGUCACUUGGGUCUACAGUAAUGCCUUUGGAUUUUCUCUUGCUUUUCAUGUUUGAUAGGCUAAUGUUGUCUUUCCAAACAAAUUUCUUGAAUUACUUCUUAUAACUUGCUUUUGCUAAUUUAUUUUUAAAAAGCUUUUGAGGGUCAUUUUUGAGAAAUUUCAACAUAAAGAAAGAGUGAUUAUUUUGAAAAGAAAUACCCUCCUAUUUUUUUCCUCAAAUAUUAAAAAAAAAAAGAAAAAAGAAAAAUGAAUAUUCCCCUGUUCAUAAGUAGGGCCCUUUUUGGGCAGGGGUUUGACCUAAAGAAAUGGCAUGGAGAGAGACAAAAAUACAUCACGUGAGCACCAACUUACUUCAUCAUUUCUUCCACCACGUCCCCAUGUUUUGAUUUGAAUUCUCCAUCCCUCAUAAAAAUUUAUAAAUUAGAAGAAAAAUAUCAAUUUAAAAAAUUUAGUUCUUUUAAAUGUGGAGUCAAACCUAACCAUGAUAUAUGGGAAUUGAAUUUUUAUAGUUAGAAAGUGAGUAAAUAAAGAUAGAAAUUUAAAAGCUUUUCAUUCAUUCAAAUUCUGUCCAAGAUUGUGAUUGGAGGAAGGAGAGAGCCCCUUUUUCAGGAGCUGACGGAAUCAUAAUAAACCAACAACAUCUAAUCAAUCACAUUAUGAUUCCCACCACAACUUUUUUAGAUUUCCUCGAAAUUAUUCCACCUUGGAAGGCGAGGUCCUGGUUUCUCUCUCAUUUUCUGUUUCCUUCUUUCACCCUUUCUUUCCUUCUUUCUUUCUUUCAAGAUGCUGUCUUAUAAAACCCUAUAUAUAUUUUUAUAUAUAAAUUUUUGAUACCUUGGAAUGCUCAUCGAAGCCCAUAAUAUGCUCUCUGCAAAAUCCUGCAUGGGGAAAUUCGUGGAGCCCAUGUUUCUAGUUCAAGCCCACUGGGCCCUGUCCUUCCCGUUCGUUUCUUUUCCUUUUUUUUUUUUCAAAAAAAAAUUCUUAAUUUUAAUGAUUAAAUAAGAAUGAUGAAAAAUAAUGAUGCUGCCAGCUUCUACUUUGUUUUUACUAGGCGUUCGGAUGUGAAAAGACACUCGUGCCCCUCACCGACAAUGCUUGGUUACCGUGCAGUAAAUUAGCUACUUCACGUUGUUCUAAAUGCAAAUUAUUAGUCUACAAAUUGUUAGGACUUUAAUUAAUGGGCCUGGUUGGGGAGGGUUCCAGGACAAAACUGGAAUUUUCUUUUUCAAAAUAAAAUAUUUAUAUCCAGGCGUCUUUCCAAAAUAUAAAUAAUACUUUGAAAAAUAUAUUUUUUAAAUUUAAUUAUUGCCCUAUUUUAAUAAUUAUAAAAAAAAAAAGGUAGAAAAUGAUAACAUUAUUCCAAAUGGCUUAAAUAAAGAUUUAGUGGAAAACGAAAGACCAGCAUUGUAUUGUAGGUCGCAUUAAGAUAAUUAUGUGUACGUGUAUAAAUUAAAGAGAAGGGGGCAUGCAGAGAUGACACGUGGCAGAGCCCCAGAGAUGCAUAGAAAGGGAAAGAGAUAGAGGGCAUGUGAACCGUUCUGACUGCACCAGGGGUGGUGUGGGGCCCAGUGGGUCUAAAGGUGGUCCUACUCACAUGCUCUAUAAGCCAUGCACCACUCACCAUGUGGCUUCUUUCGAAGCCCUCUGCGUGUUCUCCUCUCACACGCGUCACCUCCCUUCUUCUUCCACCUCCUCAGUCCUCCCCCCUUUUACUCCUAUAUAUUUUUUUUUACAGUAACACUUGAAAUUUGUUGUAUCAUUCGAGGAUGAACAUGGUAAAAUAUCGAGAAUAUACAAAAUUAAUUUUUUUUUUUAAAAUUGCAUGGAACGAGAGAAAUAAUGCCUCCUAAAAGUUAGAAGUUUUACUAGCAACUUUCCAACUGUAUUGGAGCAAAAAUUUAAAAGAUUUANAGUGCAGAAAUAAAUUUAAAUGAAUAAUUAAANNNNNNNNNNNNNNNNNNNNNNNNNNNNNNNNNNNNNNNNNNNNNNNNNNNNNNNNNNNNNNNNNNNNNNNNNNNNNNNNNNNNNNNNNNNNNNNNNNNNAUGGGGAAAUUCGUGGAGCCCAUGUUUCUAGUUCAAGCCCACUGGGCCCUGUCCUUCCCGUUCGUUUCUUUUCCUUUUUUUUUUUUCAAAAAAAAAUUCUUAAUUUUAAUGAUUAAAUAAGAAUGAUGAAAAAUAAUGAUGCUGCCAGCUUCUACUUUGUUUUUACUAGGCGUUCGGAUGUGAAAAGACACUCGUGCCCCUCACCGACAAUGCUUGGUUACCGUGCAGUAAAUUAGCUACUUCACGUUGUUCUAAAUGCAAAUUAUUAGUCUACAAAUUGUUAGGACUUUAAUUAAUGGGCCUGGUUGGGGAGGGUUCCAGGACAAAACUGGAAUUUUCUUUUUCAAAAUAAAAUAUUUAUAUCCAGGCGUCUUUCCAAAAUAUAAAUAAUACUUUGAAAAAUAUAUUUUUAUAAUUUAAUUAUUGCCCUAUUUUAAUAAUUAUAAAAAAAAAAAAGGUAGAAAAUGAUAACAUUAUUCCAAAUGGCUUAAAUAAAGAUUUAGUGGAAAACGAAAGACCAGCAUUGUAUUGUAGGUCGCAUUAAGAUAAUUAUGUGUACGUGUAUAAAUUAAAGAGAAGGGGGCAUGCAGAGAUGACACGUGGCAGAGCCCCAGAGAUGCAUAGAAAGGGAAAGAGAUAGAGGGCAUGUGAACCGGUCUGACUGCACCAGGGGUGGUGUGGGGCCCAGUGGGUCUAAAGGUGGUCCUACUCACAUGCUCUAUAAGCCAUGCACCACUCACCAUGUGGCUUCUUUCGAAGCCCUCUGCGUGUUCUCCUCUCACACGCGUCACCUCCCUUCUUCUUCCACCUCCUCAGUCCUCCCCUCUUUUACUCCUAUAUAUUUUUUUUUACAGUAACACUUGAAAUUUGUUGUAUCAUUCGAGGAUGAACAUGGUAAAAUAUCGAGAAUAUACAAAAUUAAUUUUUUUUUUUUAAAUUGCAUGGAACGAGAGAAAUAAUGCCUCCUAAAAGUUAGAAGUUUUACUAGCAACUUCCAACUGUAUUGGAGCAAAAAUUUAAAAAGAAUUUAAGAGUGCAGAAAAUAAAUUUAAAAUGAAUAAUUAAAAUCAUAAUUAUUUUAUUUAUUGUGCAAUAUUCUUGGUACUGUAGUAGAGAUUUUCCUUAAAAAAUUAUAUAGAAGGGAAUAAAAAAUAUCGGGCGAAACUAACGAGAAAAUCAGAGGGCGACUUAUCCAGAAAGCAUAUUUCAGAGGCACAAAAUUAUUUCUAAAUGAAAAAGAAAAUAAAUGUACGGGGGACAAUAGCCUCCACUCUGGCCUCUUGUCUCUUGACACUUAAAUCACCGUACGAAUCACCAGGAGUCGCUCUCGCUAUCAUGCGCCAUAUGUUACCCUCACUAUAUAUACAUAUAUAUAUUAGGCAAUGUAGACAAUAUAAGAAAUUAAGCUGAAACUAAAUUAAAAAUAACACCUACUAUAUAUUAUAUUAUAUAUACGUGCAAGUUCCAUUACAUACAAACAAAAUUGGCAGAUUCAGAGAGACUAAUUGGCCUUCAAAUACAGUCUCUCUACACCCGCCGGCGGUCAGUAACGGAAAUGCCAUUUCAAGAAACAAAAUACUACUCGCUCCGCCGUCACAUUAAGCUAAGAUUAAUUUAAGCCACCACCAAUCUUAAUAUAUAAAUAACAACCUCUAGUUAAUUUUUUUUUUUUUUUUUUUUUGGUGAAUUGUGGUCUAAGAAAGAGGAGACCUAUGAGGAGCACCCUUUCUUCUGCUGCUCAAGGAGAGAAAAUUGCCGGGGAGAAAACCGGUUGAUUUCUUCUUCUUCCUCACCACCGCCUCGGGAUCUCGUGAAAUUCCUGAAUUGCCCGAGGUCUCGUUGGAGGAGCAGGACGAGGCCUUGAACUGUAACGGGUCCUCCAGGAUGGAGUUCGGGGUAAUUUGGCCCUCCUCGUCCUCCAUUCGUAGGCCUUCGAAUUGGGAGUAGGCGAAAUCGGAUUCGUCAAACCUGUAUAUAAUGCUCGACAAAUCUUCCCCUUGGUACACCAUAUAAUCAACCUACAUUUAUUCAUUGGGUAAAUGAGUCAUUUCCUUGGACUUUGUCACAAAAUUUAUAACAUAAAAAAAUUGUGAUAAAGAGACCUUGCAUGAAAUGGAACAGAAGCGGAAUGGCUCCUGGAGAAUCCUGUCACAAGUGAAGCAAAUAUUGGCAGAGCCUUUACAAGACCUGGACUGUGGCCUCUGGUUCAAGAAUAUAACUUUGGCACUGUUUAUAGUAUAAGGCUGCCAAACAAGGCAUAAUAUCAUCACUAAUUAAUUAAUGAAUUAAUUAAAAUUAGCUCAAAAUUCCCAAAAAUAAAUAAAUAAAAUUACCUGAAUAUAAGAACAGUUAAUGAGCUUCUCAAGGUCAUCCAAUCUGACCACAUCAUGGUACACAUAUCUCCUCACCUGUCACAUGGGAGGAAAAACAAAAUUUUGAAAUAUUACCACAGUUGAAUUCGAUUUAACUACCACUCUCUAGUUUGAAAUUUAGAUGAAAAUGAAAGCAAACGAACCUAACCAAACUUUCAAUCAUGUUGGUAUCAAUGAAUGAGCAUUAAGAAAAGAGGAAUUUAUGAAACUAGGUCAAACUUUCACUUUAUCUGAAAGCUACUAGUGAGGAGGCUUUGCAGGGAGAUUGGAUAAAAAGAAAUGUUCCAGAUAUAGGAAAGAAAUCAAAUCUAAAAAGUGAGAUUCAAGGAAGAAAUAAUGAACCCUUUAUAGAACACACCAUUCAUUAAUGGGAAAAAAAUAUGUAUAUAUAUCAAAAUCUUUGGAAUUAAGAAUCAAGGAACGUUUCCUUGCAGCUCGGGAAAAUUUUUAAGUUUAACAUCUCAAUUGGUACGAAUCUAGGAAAUAGGUUUUGACGAUUUGCGAGAAGGUCCAAGAAAAAAAUCACGAGAAACAAACGGAGAUUUUCCGGGAAACUGAAAGAAAAGAAAACAUCAAACGUGAGGGUAGCCAAACAGAAUUACCUUCAUAGAGAGAAAAAAAAUGGAAGGAAAAGUAUAUGUGGAUAUAGAAUUUGAAGCAAAACCUGGAGGAGAGGAUGAGAGCGAUGAGAAGGAAGACAGUGAGGGCAGAUGCUUUGACAACACUCCAAGCAAAAAACGUUCUUCUCGUUCUUCCUACGAUUCUCGUGGACCCCACAACCAGCAAAGAAUGUCUCGGCCAUUAGACCAUCCAGCCAUGCAGGCUUCAUUACCAUAUCUCCACCACCACCACCUGCAACUCCACCUCCGCCGCCUCCUCCCCCUCCGCCAGACGAUGAUUCUCUCACCAUCUUUUUUGCUCUCUCUUGUUCUCCAAAGACUCUUUAACCCUUUACGCCCUUUUUUCUACCAGGUCUGAUACAAGCUGAAGUCAGAGUGUAAAAGAGAGAGAGAGAGAGAGAGGAGGAGCAGCACUUAGCUGGAGUAUUUAUCACUACUCAGUAAUGGUGGUAGUGCGAGGAGUAGAAGAAGUGUAUUAGCUUUCAUGUGCUUUUGUGAAAACCCUAACUAAUACCCCUGUCCUCCUUUAUUUAUACUGUCUUUUUUUUAGAAAAAUGGACUACCCCUCAAAUAAAUUUUCAUCCUCCUUUCAUUUCUAUAAACAAUACGCAAUGGAAAAUAUUUUUAAAAAGUAAAAGCUUUGAAAGCAAUUUAAAAUUAUUCUAUUUGAUUUGGGUUUUAACGAAAAUAUAGGAAUAAUCAUUUAUCAAAUAUUUCUAAGCAUGUAAAUAAUUUUAAAAAUAGUAAAAAAAAUACUCUUAAAAUUUUAUAUUAGAAAACGUUUUUAAAAACUCUCUCUUUAUUCGUUAUAGAAAACAUUUUUUUUAACUCAUUUCAAAUAAAAAUAUCAUACAUAAAUGUGUAAUAUCAAAAAAUUUAAAAUAUUCUCUUUUUGUCAAUUAUUAUUCAAAAUAUUUUAAAAAAUGAUUGAGAAUAUUUAAAUAAAAUAAUUUUAUAUUUUUUUAAUUAAAUAUUUUUUAAGCAAAGAUUUGGGAUGUUUUCAAAUGGGGCUAAAUAAUUUACUACUAUUUAUUUAAUUUGUAUUUAAAUUAAAAUUUUGAAAAAUAAAAUAAAAAUGGAAGGGAAAAGAGGAGAUAUUGCUGCUGGGUGGAGGUGUUUAUGGCGGGAAGCAACCCCACCAAUGGUGUACCUUUUCUGCAAAUACAAAUCCUUUUCCAGACAGUGAUUAGAGCACUCCCCUUUAUUAUACCUACACUUCCCUGUUUCUUUUGUAUUUACCAAAGUGCCCUCCCACCGUCUUUAAUUUUCACCCCCGGCCAAAUAAAUUUUUUACUCUUUCACUCCCGUUAAAUGUGAGGGAGUGCCUCGGUUAUUUACUGGUGAACAUUUAUUUAUUGUUUUUAUUGUUAUGAUUUGUCUCUUUUAGGGCUAGUGAUAGCCCCUCCUCGGUUAGAAAGCUGUGAUAUGACAAAAAUGUCCUUUAUUUUUGUAUAUUAGGGUUUUUUUAAUUUUAAAAUUCUUUUAUUCUCAUCGAGUGGCUAAAAUAAUUAUAUUUCGUGUGUUGAAUGACUCAAACCACCGUAUUGUUGUCUUGCUGUCGUGUAAUUUUGGGACGUGUGUCCUUUAAUUUCCCAAAAUACCCUAAUGUUUAUCUGCACUCGUUAUUUUACGAGUCUCGUUAAACUUAAAUUCGAGACCCAGACCAGGUUGGGCUUAAAUGUAUAUCAUCCAGGCCCAAUCCAAAAACUUAACAGGCCUAGCUUUCAGGCCUCAGGCCCACGCCCACCCUUUGUGUUAUACUAGGCCGCCUCACCAGGCCCAUGGCAGGCCCUCAUAGGGCCGCAACCUGGCCACUUGGAUUGGGAUUGUAAUUAAGUCAAGCCCAAUCCAUGCGGUUGGGCCCUGCACCCAUUCGAUAAAAAUGGCCCACUCGGUAUCCAACUUGAGUUGCUUAAUUUGAACUCAGCUUGAUCUCGUUUUCCCAAAUCAAUCGAAGUGAAAUUCCGAUUGGGUUGUAUUUAGGGGUGACAGAGUUUGAUAUGAUUUGCCAACAUGAUACAAACUCAACGCUUUUUUUUUACGGGUUUAAGUUAAACAUAAAUGAGUUUUGGUUAAAUUCGUGUCCACGUGCAUAACCCAUUUAAUAAAUAUACAACUUUUUAGUCAACAUGCACAAUACAAAUUUGACCCGAAUUGACAUAUUUAAUAAUCUUUCUAUUAACCUGAUUAUAUCUUUAAACUAUUUAACUCAUUUUAAAAUUAAAUAAUUAAUUAAAUCAUAAACAUAUUUAAUUGAGACAUUAAUCAUAUAAAUAUAUAGAAGACCUAACUCAACUUGAUUAUUAAAUAUGAUAAUUUAAUUACUAAAUAGGUUAAAUAGGUGAUACUACUUAUUAUUUAUUUAUAAUUGGGUAAUACUUAAGUUUAUGUUUUUGACACGAUUAUUAUUUGUAUCGGGUUUUAAUUGAGUUAUUUAGUUAAAUACUUGAACUUUAACAUAACAUGAAUACAACUCAGUAAAGAGAAUUGCUACCCCUAAACUUGUGUUGAGCCCAUUUGCAAUAUUUUUUUUUUUUACCAAAAUAUAAAUAAAAUAACUAAUAAUUCAAUAUUUCAAAACAAUGGUAAAAGGAAAAAAAAUCAAAUCGAAUUUUAGACUAACUCUUUCAAAUUACAAUGCAAUUGAAACAUUAGGACACAAUGAUGAGUCUACAAAGGAGAUUUCACUCAAGCCAAGUCUAACGCAUGGUGCAUGGCAAGUGUUGCUUUUGAAGUUCAUAAUAUCAUCCUCAAAUGAUUUCAAAAAUGAUCGCUCACCCAAAUAUAAAAAACACUUUGAAAAAACAAACAACAAAAAAAGAGAGAAAUUUAUUGAUUACUUUCCAUGGCAUCACGAAGCUUUUCAACAAUGGCAAAAGGGUAUCAAGAAAAGGCAUAAAUCAUAAGCCUCCCUUUUCAAAAACAUCCAAAAAGAAAGAGGUAAAAGUGAGACAUGGGCCUCUUGCCCAUAAUAAUAUAGGCCCACAAAACUUGAUGGCACUAGCCAUCUUCAAGCCUGCUUGAUAUGGCCCGUUUUUAGCCAUCAAGCAGGCCCAUGUGAAUGAAUUGGCUGCACCAUCUUGACAUUAAAAGAGUUUACAUGGAACUGUUAAUUAGGUCUUUGCACUUUCCUCAAACACCAUGUGAGAAAUAAAUUUUUAUUUAAUUGUUGUUUUUUUUUUAAAUUUAAUAACUAUCACUAUUUUGAUAAAAAUAAUUUUAAAAUAUAAAUAUUUUUGGCAUUUCAAUAGUAGAAAGGACUUUUUAGUAAAAUAAUUUUAAAUUCCACCUUUUUUUUUUUCCCCCUUUUUAAUCUUUUAGAUUUGUGAAAGCUCUAUUUCUUGUCAGGGAAGGUGCUUGAGGUGCACGCAGAGAAGAUGUCUAUCUCACUCACACCAAACUGCACUCAACUUAUGUGUGAGGAUAAAUGAAUUUCAAAGUCAAUUUCCAUCCAAAUACCUUUUUUUUUCUUGUGGGUUGUUUGUUCGAUAAGAAAAUUCUUGAAGCCUUGAAAGUGGGAAAGUGAUAUGAUUAGGCAAAUUGAAGAGAAAAAGGCUCUCCAUUUAGUGAUGGGACUCAUUCUUUUUGCAUACACUUUAUGAGUAUAAACCAUUAUUAACUCCUCUCACCCCUUUUCUAUGAUAGGAUUAUUAUACUAGAAUUGAUGUCGGCACGGGCUUUUUGGUACUAAUCAUAAAUUGCUGGUAACUACAUCUUUUCUCUUUUAUCCUCAUUGGAGUUCAAUCACUACCCCAUGAAAGCAAACUUUAGGUAAGUGCCUCCUAGAUAUAAAUAAUUUUGACCUUUUUGGGGUUUGUCCUAUUUGGGGUUCUCUUUAUUUUUUGUGCUUAGUAAUGUAUUUUUUUAAUUAUUUAAAUUAAAAUAUUAUAAAUAUCCUUAAAAUUUUUAAUUACAUACAAAUUUGUGCAUUAAGUUACAUAUAAAAUUUAUUUUUUUGUUGUACUUUUUUCAAAAUAUAGGUUUUUUAAAAUAUAUAUAUAUCAUUAGUUUUAAUCAUAUUUGAUUUCUUUUUUUCAUGGUAAAAUGACAUAUGAGGAUAUCAAUUUUUUUUGGGUAUUUUAUUGAAACCAAAUAUAUUUAAAAAUAAAUAAAAAUAAUGAAAGAUUUAUGAAUACUCUUCGUUAUAUGCCUCAUAAUGAGCAUGGGGAGAAUGUGUGUUCCUCUAAAUGAUUUAGCACAAGAAGAUUAAUAAUUUGAGAUAGGAGGCAUAGGCAUGUGACCUAGAGGCCAGUGGGCUAGACUCGUAGCCUGUAGGAUUAGUAUUUGUGAAUAUAGACACCAAAAUUGGUAGUUUGCUUGGCAUAUGAGAUUUGGAUCUAGAUCUCAAAUUUGGUCUCCAUGAUCUUUCAAAACAUCCCCAAUAGUCCCACCAUGAAGGGGCAUAACCCCACGUGGGUUGAGGAUGUUUCUCAUGAUUUUUCUAAACCUUAAAACACAUUUUAACUUUCUUUUUUUUUUUAAAAAAAAAAACACUGAUAAAUAAUAGAAUUCGGUGGUUAGGACGGUUAUGGCAAAUGACAAUGAUGAUGAGUUACACUACACAUUUAGUAGCAUGAAAGAAACCCUAAUGAUGAUUAUAAUUUGGUGAAAUGUCACACGGGAGGCAACUACAAGUGUGGGCAUCACCAAUGAUAGUGAACUUAUGAUGUAAUAUGGAGCUAAAGAGAUGGGUCAUUGAAAUCUCAAUGAACCAUUUGUUGGGUUGGAGGCAUGCAGAUUGGAGACAUGGGUCCAUUUUCCCUAUUAAAUUGCCCAAUGCCAUUUCUGCAUACAUGGAAGUUUUAUCCAAAAUGGUAGAUGCAAUCAUAUGCAUCCUUCCAUGUAAACCAAGACAAACAAUAAUCAAUUCCUAAUCCAUAUGCUUACAACUAAAAAUAGGAUAAAGAUUGGGUCAAUUUUUUUUUUUUAGGAUUCAUGGUGUUUUAUUUUUUAAAAUUUUGGAGUAUUUUAAAAUAAUGAAUUAAACUCAAAAUUAAUGAAAAAUGAAAAUACCUUUAUUAAAGCAAAAAAAAAAAAAAAAAGUGUAAUUCUUCAAUUUAAGGAAAAGACAAAAUGUGAGAAGUAAGGGUGUAGUUCUUCGAUUGAUCUCAUGGGCGAAGGAAGGGUAUUUUGGUAAUUUUAGGUCAAGUAGUUGCAAGUUGGUGGUUCACUGAUUGAAUCUCUAUUAAGCUGAGCUAACGCCAAACACAAAGCAGAGCUCCUGGGUGAGAUCUAUCUAGAGAAAGAGAGAAAUCUAGAGAGAGAAUGAGAGAACUGACGGCCGACGGUAACGCGGCGGCUCCUCCGCAAGCUCUUCUGGAGAGGCUCAAGGAUUACGGCCAGGAGUAUACUUUUGCCCUUUGGGACGAGCUUUCGGCAGAGGAGCGAGACCUUCUCGUCAAGGACAUCGAGGUCGUUCUCUUUGUCUUUCAUUUCUCCGUUCGGUGGCCGAGAAAACUAGAUUUUGAAUAAUUUGAUCAGUUUGUGGUGUUAGGGAUUCAUGAUUUUCAUUUUUUUGUUUCUUUGCUUUUUUCGCUACCUUUUUCCGCGACGAAAUGGAGAAUUGGCGCCAAUCUAGUUUAAAUUGGUUUCAUGAUUUGUAUUUUAUAAUUAAUGAUUAUUGGUCAAUUCGAAUUUAAUUAUUUCUAUGAUUUUGUUUUGUAAAGCGUGAUUUGGUUUAAAUAAGUGUGCUGUUUUUUCCGCAGAGUUUAGAUCUUUCAAGGGUAGAUCGGAUCAUUCGGUGUUCACUUCGAUCUCAAGGCAAACAUCUCUCUCCUUCGCUAGAUAUGCAUAAUAAUGAUUUUUUUCUUCUUUCUUUUGAAGUUGGAAUUGUAUCUUGUUCAGAGUUGACGUAGUCGUGUGGUGAAUGUUAUGAUUUUCUUUUGGAGUUCCAGGGCUUCCGACGGCAGCAAUUGAGCCGGUUCCAGAGAGUAGUGUGUCCACUGUAGAGGAGAGAACACUUGAAGAAAGAGAGAGAUGGUGGAAGAUGGGUUUGAAAGCCAUCUCCGAAGGGAAGUUGGCGGUGGUUCUCCUAUCUGGUGGGCAGGUAGAACUCUUUCUUAUGGUAAUUGGCUUUGAUUAACAAGAAUAUUUCCUGUGGCCUACUUCAAAUCAAUCAAUUAAUUCCUAUGAGAUUUUGAGAUUGACAUGCUUACUUAGUAAAUGAACUACAGAGAAUUGGUUUUGUUCUAUGAAUAGGUGGUUUAUACUGCAAAAAUGUGCUUGCUACGAGAGAAUGUAUUCUACACUCUUCUCAUUGGAAUAUCCUGAGUAGGAAGGAUCUGAUGCUUGUGAUGAAAUAUUAUAAAUAAAUAAUAGAAAAUGCUUAUCAUUUUGUUAUCUAUGACCUAGAAAGAUGCUUUGCGACCCAACAAGCAGCAUCUUAAAUUAUCUAAUCACAAUUUCCAAUAAAAAAAUCAAUGUCCCUCAGGACAAAAUAGUUUUAUGAUAGUACAAUCAAGUUUUGUUUUUAUAGAUGGCCUAGCUGACAGGACAGCCUGUUUAGCUGUUCCAGUUUUACACCUGAUUUAACCAUUGUACUUUUUAUUCAUUAGAAACUAUUUUUUUUUUUGAUUGGAUAUUCAUUAGAAACUAUGAAUAUUGGGAAUUGGCAAUAAGGCUCAGGUUGUAUAUCAGUUUUCUUGUGAGGUCUUAAGGUUAUUGUAAAUCAACUCAGGAUAACUUCUAAGACAUGCCAAGCAUGCACAGAAGAGCUGGCUUGAGCCCAAUUUGAUAAAACCUAGCAUAGUUCUUUACUUGGAGAAAAUCUUUUUGUAUAGAUGGAACUUUUGGAUAUUAAUCAAGUUCUGCACCUGCAUAUUCUUCUGUGCUCCCAUCAACAGCCUCCAGGUUAUCAUUAGCUGUAUUUAGCAACAUGUUUAAAGUGUUGUUAAUAUACAACCUCCCAUCCCCU
Molecule: long non-coding RNA, 40655 nt
Filed under: Vitis vinifera (wine grape)
Lineage: Eukaryota; Viridiplantae; Streptophyta; Magnoliopsida; Vitales; Vitaceae
Description: long non-coding RNA (VVIN_LNC000015)
Source: RNAcentral